Cyprinus carpio (common carp) is the source of this 1039-nucleotide long non-coding RNA. RefSeq lists it as uncharacterized. The transcript is spliced from 4 exons. The record is from RefSeq and is a predicted model, not a curated record. NCBI's taxonomy places the organism in Eukaryota, Metazoa, Chordata, Actinopteri, Cypriniformes, Cyprinidae.
UGUCUGCUGUUAAAUGUCUUAAAGGUUAAAUGUCUUGAAUGUUCUUUAGUUCCUGUAAAUGCCCGUUGAUGAUUAAAUUCUUUAUUUCUGAAGAAUUCUCCAGCAUCUCCUCACUCCUUCCCGAGUGUAAUUGUGACAGAACAGCAGACCAAGAAAAAACGAGCAAUCUUCAUAUCACUGGCUCAGGCGAGCCCCGACCCAAUUGUGUUUGCGAGGGUGUUUGUGCCACUCACCCUUGCCAGCUCCCUUGAGGGGAAACCCUAAAGACGCUGUUCCGGAUUGGGAUAACUUACCAUCGUCCCACGGAGCUCCCAGACACCACCACCCUCGGCUGGAAGGAGGCAGUCAUCCGGUGUCUGGAGAGUAUCCGAUCCCGAUCCGGAACCAGUCAGCCAGGGGCUCUGGAUCCCCAGUUAAGCCCAGGGAGGGAUCCUGUUCCCAAGAUAAGCCCACGGCGGGCUCCCGUUCCUGAGUCAAGCCCAGGAUGGGCUCCCGUUCCCAAAUUAAGCCCACGGCGGGCUUCCGUUCCUGAGUUAAGCCCACGGCAGGCUCCCGUUCCCAAGUUCAGCCCAGGAAGGGCUCCCGAUCCCCAGUUCAGCCCAGGAAGGGCUCCCGGUCCCCCGUUAAGUCCAGUGUUGUCUCCUGAUUUCCCCGUUAAGCCCAGGGAGGGCCCCAGAUCCCCCGUUAAGCCCAGGAAGGGCUCUAGAUCUCCAGCCAGCCCCAGAGCUCGCUCCAGUGUCGGCUCCAGCCCCAGAGCUCGCUCCAGUGUCAGCUUCAGCCCCAGAGCGUCCAUCAAGUGAAUGGAUGCCGUCAGAAUGAGAGUCCAAACAGCUGAUAAAAACAUCACAAUAAUCCACAAGAAUGCUGUCCAUGAGGAAACAAGUUCUAGGAUGGCCUGAGGAUGGUGACAAACUGUUUGAUGUGAGACAGAAAGAGAGUGACAGCUGUGAACUAAAAGAAGGGAGAAAGAGAACGCAGAGAGACAGGAGAAGAGUGAUGGAGACAGCGAGGAUGAGGUGGAUGCAACACUAACAUCAUG